Molecule: long non-coding RNA, 825 nt
Filed under: Malus domestica (apple)
Lineage: Eukaryota; Viridiplantae; Streptophyta; Magnoliopsida; Rosales; Rosaceae
Description: long non-coding RNA (MDOM_LNC003768)
Source: RNAcentral
GGUGGUGCAUUAACGAAUUGGAUUGCAACAUCUGUCUCCCCACCGCAUGCAUCUUCGUCGACUCGAUCUCUGCAAAUGUAUCGACUUCAACGUCUGCACGAAAUAGCAGUACAGUUUUCUAUAUGAGAGAAAAAACGUCUGAGAGAAGCUGGCUGUUGCAGUCGUGGUGGUUGUUGGAAGAUUUUCUUGUCUAAGCGUGAGAGAGUGAGAGAUUGUCCUCGAGGUCUUCGAGGUCCUGCUCAGAUUUCUCAUCGAUCCUAAACCCUUUUGUUAAAGCUUUUCCCAGCUUUAACAAAAGACUUCUGUGCAGGCUGUUUGCAUGUGUGAGUGCCAUCAUUCCCUGCAUGUGCUCUGUAACGUUGAUCAAAUUCCUCAAUUUCUAUGGUGUAUAAAUAAGCCUUCCUGUAAGGCUUUAGAACAAGUACCCAGUUUCCCUUCCAACUCCUUCAAGUCACGGAGUGUAUGGGUUGUCUUCACCACCCAUUUCAGUUUCAAGUUGACGCGAAGCAUGCAGGUUCUGCGGUUGCUGCUGUCGUAGCUGUAUUGCUUGCGAAGGUUGGUUUUUUUUAGGAAGGAAAGCCUUGCAAGCUCCCGCUGCUGCCAUUGACAACACUUGGAUGUGGUCUCUGCUGCUGAUUUUGUAAAUGCUUCUGGGACGACGAAGAACCACUUGAAAUAGUAGUGUUUGGAUGACCUUAUUGACUUUGCUGUGAUUGAGACGGCAGUGGUUGUUGUUGCUGUUGGUGGAAAUCGGGGAAAAGGGAAAGCUAGCAAACUCCUUUGUGAAGCCCUUUACGUGGUGAGCCUUUGCAUGAUUUUGACAUG